UACGGAGGGUGCGAGCGUUGUCCGGAAUCACUGGGCUUAAAGGGCGCGUAGGCGGGCCGUCAAGUCAGGGGUGAAAGCCCCCAGCUCAACUGGGGAAGUGCCUUUGAUACUGACGGCCUCGAGGGAGAUAGGGGCGUGCGGAACUUCCGGUGGAGCGGUGAAAUGCGUAGAUAUCGGAAGGAACACCGGUGGCGAAAGCGGCGCGCUGGAUCUCUUCUGACGCUGAGGCGCGAAAGCCAGGGGAGCGAACGGG
Molecule: ribosomal RNA, 253 nt
Filed under: uncultured bacterium
Lineage: Bacteria
Description: partial 16S ribosomal RNA
Rfam family: Bacterial small subunit ribosomal RNA
Source: RNAcentral